CCCAGUGAACUUUCCAGAGAUGGAUUGGUGCAUUUCGGGAAUUAUGAGACAGGUGCUGCAUGGCUGUCGUCAGCUUGUGUUGUGAAAUGUUGGGUUAAGUCCCGCAACGAGCGCAACCCUUAUCCUUUGUUCCAGCGGUCCGACCGGGAACUCAAAGGAGACUGCCAGUGAUAAACUGGAGGAAGGUGGGGAUGACGUCAAGUCAUCAUGGCCCUUACGAGUAGGGCUACACACGUGCUUCAAUGGCGCAUACAUAGAGAAGCGAACUCGCGAGAGCAAGCGGACCUCAUAAGGUGCGUCGUAGUCCGGAUUGGAGUCUGCAACUCGACUCCAUGAAGUCGGAAUCGCUAGUAAUCGUAGAUCAGAAUGCUACGGUGAAUACGUUCCCGGGCCUUGUACACACCGCCCGUCACACCAUGGGAGUGGGUGCAAAAGAAGUAGGUAGCUUAACCUUCGGGAGGGCGCUUACCACUUUUGGUUCGUUAGUGGGGUGAAGUCGUAACAAGGUAACCAAUCGAAUUCCCGCGGCCGGCCUGGCGGCCCGGAAGGCAUUGGAACG
RNAcentral lists this ribosomal RNA (559 nucleotides) under uncultured Enterobacter sp. Its description in RNAcentral is "bacterial SSU rRNA". It matches the Rfam family "Bacterial small subunit ribosomal RNA", at positions 988 to 1533 of the family's 1533-position model. Lineage: Bacteria; Pseudomonadati; Pseudomonadota; Gammaproteobacteria; Enterobacterales; Enterobacteriaceae. The record is from RNAcentral.